Molecule: ribosomal RNA, 635 nt
Filed under: uncultured bacterium
Lineage: Bacteria
Description: bacterial SSU rRNA
Rfam family: Bacterial small subunit ribosomal RNA
Source: RNAcentral
CCUGAUCCAGCCAUGCCGCGUGUGUGAAGAAGGCCUUUUGGUUGUAAAGCACUUUAAGCGAGGAGGAGGCUCUCCUAGUUAAUACCUAGGAUGAGUGGACGUUACUCGCAGAAUAAGCACCGGCUAACUCUGUGCCAGCAGCCGCGGUAAUACAGAGGGUGCGAGCGUUAAUCGGAUUUACUGGGCGUAAAGCGUGCGUAGGCGGCUGAUUAAGUCGGAUGUGAAAUCCCUGAGCUUAACUUAGGAAUUGCAUUCGAUACUGGUCAGCUAGAGUAUGGGAGAGGAUGGUAGAAUUCCAGGUGUAGCGGUGAAAUGCGUAGAGAUCUGGAGGAAUACCGAUGGCGAAGGCAGCCAUCUGGCCUAAUACUGACGCUGAGGUACGAAAGCAUGGGGAGCAAACAGGAUUAGAUACCCUGGUAGUCCAUGCCGUAAACGAUGUCUACUAGCCGUUGGGGCCUUUGAGGCUUUAGUGGCGCAGCUAACGCGAUAAGUAGACCGCCUGGGGAGUACGGUCGCAAGACUAAAACUCAAAUGAAUUGACGGGGGCCCGCACAAGCGGUGGAGCAUGUGGUUUAAUUCGAUGCAACGCGAAGAACCUUACCUGGCCUUGACAUACUAGAAACUUUCCAGAGAUG